Molecule: ribosomal RNA, 497 nt
Filed under: uncultured bacterium
Lineage: Bacteria
Description: partial 16S ribosomal RNA
Rfam family: Bacterial small subunit ribosomal RNA
Source: RNAcentral
GAUGAACGCUGGCGGCGUGCCUAAUACAUGCAAGUCGAGCGAACAGACGAGGAGCUUGCUCCUCUGACGUUAGCGGCGGACGGGUGAGUAACACGUGGAUAACCUACCUAUAAGACUGGGAUAACUUCGGGAAACCGGAGCUAAUACCGGAUAAUAUAUUGAACCGCAUGGUUCAAUAGUGAAAGACGGUUUUGCUGUCACUUAUAGAUGGAUCCGCGCCGCAUUAGCUAGUUGGUAAGGUAACGGCUUACCAAGGCAACGAUGCGUAGCCGACCUGAGAGGGUGAUCGGCCACACUGGAACUGAGACACGGUCCAGACUACUACGGGAGGCAGCAGUAGGGAAUCUUCCGCAAUGGGCGAAAGCCUGACGGAGCAACGCCGAGUGAGUGAUGAAGGUCUUCGGAUCGUAAAACUCUGUUAUUAGGGAAGAACAAAUGUGUAAGUAACUAUGCACGUCUUGACGGUACCUAAUCAGAAAGCCACGGCUAACUACGUG